This 678-nucleotide ribosomal RNA is filed under the name Backusella circina. RNAcentral describes it as "eukaryotic LSU rRNA". It matches the Rfam family "Eukaryotic large subunit ribosomal RNA", at positions 34 to 628 of the family's 3401-position model. The record is from RNAcentral. Lineage: Eukaryota; Fungi; Mucoromycota; Mucoromycetes; Mucorales; Backusellaceae.
UUAAGCAUAUCAAUAAGCGGAGGAAAAGAAAAUAACAAUGAUUUCCCUAGUAACGGCGAGUGAAGAGGAAAGAGCUCAAAGUUGGAAUCCGGUUGCCCUAGGUAAUUGGAAUUGUAAACUGGAGAGGUGUUUUCCAGGCGAGCCAAGCAAAUAAGUCCUUUGGAACAGGGCAUCAUAGAGGGUGAGAAUCCCGUCUUUGGCUUGAGCAUUGCCUUUUGCGAUACACUUUCAAAGAGUCAGGUUGUUUGGGAAUGCAGCCUAAAUUGGGUGGUAAAUCUCACCUAAAGCUAAAUAUUGGCGAGAGACCGAUAGCGAACAAGUACCGUGAGGGAAAGAUGAAAAGAACUUUGAAAAGAGAGUUAAACAGUAUGUGAAAUUGUUGAAAGGGAACCGUUUGGAGCCAGACCGGCUGCUCUAUAAUCAAUCUCUGCUUCGGUAGGGAUGCACUUGUAGGGCUUUAGCCUGCCAACAGCAAUUUUCUUUGGUGGAAAAAACUAGAAGGAAUGUGGCCCCUCGGGGUGUUAUAGCCUUUUAGAAAAUACACUGAAGGGGAUUGAGGACUGCAGCAAAUGCUUUUGGCGAAAUAACUAGGUGCUUGUGUUAAGGACGUAUAGAAUCUCUGCUUCGGGUGGUGCUAUGCUCUGCGAUGCAACUCGCUUAGACUAUUUUCUAUUGCUA